Molecule: non-coding RNA, 117 nt
Organism: Aedes aegypti (yellow fever mosquito)
Lineage: Eukaryota; Metazoa; Arthropoda; Insecta; Diptera; Culicidae
Source: Rfam
UGCCCAGCAACUCCUAUCCCUACCUCCUCGUGGUACUGGCCGGGGUACGAGUAACCUUGGGGAAGAUAGGGUAACCAACCCCCGGUGGGAACUUUGGUCGUAUGCUGACAGGGAGGG